Molecule: small nuclear RNA, 123 nt
Filed under: Canis lupus familiaris (dog)
Lineage: Eukaryota; Metazoa; Chordata; Mammalia; Carnivora; Canidae
Also listed under: 1 other name
Description: U4 spliceosomal RNA (ENSCAFG00030023661.1, ENSCAFG00040015913.1, ENSCAFG00805030226.1, ENSCAFG00845024405.1)
Rfam family: U4 spliceosomal RNA (bases 1-80)
About the family: U4 small nuclear RNA (U4 snRNA) is a component of the major U2-dependent spliceosome. The structure of U4 snRNA from yeast and human has been reported. U4 snRNA presents a k-turn RNA motif in the 5p-SL related to recognition of Snu13 protein.
Source: RNAcentral
AGCUUUGCGCAGUGGCAGUAUCGUAGCCAAUGAGGUUUAUCCGAGGCUCGAUUAUUGCUAAUUGAAAAAUAUACAUUAUGGAACAAUAUAUACACUGAAGAAAGUUACUUGCUCCACUUGGGG